CCUACGGGAGGCAGCAGUAGGGAAUUUUCGGCAAUGGGGGGAACCCUGACCGAGCAACGCCGCGUGAACGAAGAAGUUAUUCGUAAUGUAAAGUUCUUUUAACAGGGAAGAAAGAGAAAUUUGACGGUACCUGAAGAAUAAGCUCCGGCUAACUACGUGCCAGCAGCCGCGGUAAUACGUAGGGAGCGAGCGUUAUCCGGAAUUAUUGGGCGUAAAGGGUGCGUAGAUGGCAUAGUAAGUCUUUUGUAAAAAUGCUGGGCUAAACCCAGUAGGGCAAAAGAUACUGCAAAGCUAGAGUAUGACAGAGGAAAGUGGAACUACAGGUGUAGGGGUGAAAUGCGUAGAUAUUAGGAGGAACACCAGUGGCGAAGGCGGCCUACUGGACGGUGACUGACGCUGAGGCUCGAAAGCGUGGGGAGCAAACAGGAUUAGAUACCCGUGUAGUC
RNAcentral lists this ribosomal RNA (446 nucleotides) under uncultured bacterium. Its description in RNAcentral is "partial 16S ribosomal RNA". It matches the Rfam family "Bacterial small subunit ribosomal RNA", at positions 338 to 795 of the family's 1533-position model. The record is from RNAcentral.